AURAAGAACGUAGCGAAAUGCGAUACUUGGUGUGAAUUGCARAAUCCCGUGAACCAUCGAGUCUUUGAACGCAAGUUGCGCCUGAAGCCAUUAGGCUAAAGGCACGUCUGCCUGGGCGUCACUCAUCGCGUCACCCCAUCUCGA
Molecule: ribosomal RNA, 144 nt
Filed under: Glandora diffusa
Lineage: Eukaryota; Viridiplantae; Streptophyta; Magnoliopsida; Boraginales; Boraginaceae
Description: 5.8S ribosomal RNA
Rfam family: 5.8S ribosomal RNA (bases 1-121)
About the family: 5.8S ribosomal RNA (5.8S rRNA) is a component of the large subunit of the eukaryotic ribosome.
Source: RNAcentral